Molecule: transfer RNA, 73 nt
Filed under: Podarcis lilfordi (Lilford's wall lizard)
Lineage: Eukaryota; Metazoa; Chordata; Lepidosauria; Squamata; Lacertidae
Rfam family: tRNA
About the family: Transfer RNA (tRNA) molecules are approximately 80 nucleotides in length. Their secondary structure includes four short double-helical elements and three loops (D, anti-codon, and T loops).
Source: Rfam by way of RNAcentral
UGAUCUUUAGCUCAGUUGGUAGAGUGUGAGGCUCGUAAUCUCAGAGCCAUGGGUUCAAGCCACACAGGAUUCU